Molecule: ribosomal RNA, 468 nt
Filed under: uncultured bacterium
Lineage: Bacteria
Description: partial 16S ribosomal RNA
Rfam family: Bacterial small subunit ribosomal RNA
Source: RNAcentral
AUGAACGCUGGCGGCGUGCUUCACACAUGCAAGUCGAACGGUGAACACGGAGCUUGCUCUGUGGGAUCAGUGGCGAACGGGUGAGUAACACGUGAGCAACCUGCCCCUGACUCUGGGAUAAGCGCUGGAAACGGCGUCUAAUACUGGAUAUGUGACGUGACCGCAUGGUCUGCGUUUGGAAAGAUUUUUCGGUUGGGGAUGGGCUCGCGGCCUAUCAGCUUGUUGGUGAGGUAAUGGCUCACCAAGGCGUCGACGGGUAGCCGGCCUGAGAGGGUGACCGGCCACACUGGGAUUGAGACACGGCCCAGACUCCUACGGGAGGCAGCAGUGGGGAAUAUUGCACAAUGGGCGAAAGCCUGAUGCAGCAACGCCGCGUGAGGGAUGACGGCCUUCGGGUUGUAAACCUUUUUUAGCAGGGAAGAAGCGAAAGUGACGGUACCUGCAGAAAAAGCGCCGGCUAACUACGUG